This 197-nucleotide ribosomal RNA is filed under the name uncultured bacterium. Its description in RNAcentral is "partial 16S ribosomal RNA". It matches the Rfam family "Bacterial small subunit ribosomal RNA", at positions 335 to 524 of the family's 1533-position model. The record is from RNAcentral.
ACUCCUACGGGAGGCAGCAGUGGGGAAUAUUGGACAAUGGGCGAAAGCCUGAUCCAGCCAUGCCGCGUGUGUGAAGAAGGUCUUCGGAUUGUAAAGCACUUUAAGUUGGGAGGAAGAGCAGUUACCUAAUACGUGAUUGUUUUGACGUUACCGACAGAAUAAGCACCGGCUAACUCUGUGCCAGCAGCCGCGGUAAU